UACGAAGGGGGCUAGCGUUGCUCGGAAUUACUGGGCGUAAAGGGCGCGUAGGCGGCACUGUUAGUCAGGCGUGAAAGUCCUGGGCUCAACCUGGGAACUGCGCUUGAUACGGCAGAGCUAGAGGAUGGAAGAGGCUCGCGGAAUUCCCAGUGUAGAGGUGAAAUUCGUAGAUAUUGGGUGGAACACCGGUGGCGAAAGCGGCUCACUGGCUCGGUUCUGACGCUGAGGCGGCGAAAAGCGUGGGGAGCAAACAGG
Molecule: ribosomal RNA, 255 nt
Filed under: uncultured bacterium
Lineage: Bacteria
Description: partial 16S ribosomal RNA
Rfam family: Bacterial small subunit ribosomal RNA
Source: RNAcentral